CACAUUAUUUUUUUUCUUUGAAGCUUAUUUUUUAUAGCUCUGUUUUGUGGAAGCCCUCUUGCUUGAACUAGGGCACAUGCAUACAAGUCAGUAUUUGUUUGGUUUUACCCUCGACCAAAAAAGACGUAGUGAUAGGUCUUGAUGAGUGAUUCAUGGCAAUUUUUGAACAGUUACACCACAAUAGUUUUGAGAGAAUCUUCAGCACACGGUUUACUUCAUCAGGUGUUUUCGUUCCUGAUUUUUUUUUGCAAAUCUCUUUCUUUACUAUGCAGUAGUUUUAUUUGGGACAAUCAUUAUAUGGUUUUACCUUUGUUAAGGAAGGGUUUAAGAAGUUUGUUUGAAAAAAUAAAAGGGGUUUAGCAAAGUUUUGUUAAAUGAAAAAGCUCUCUCUCGGUGUAUGCAUUCUUGUAAAGAGUCAGCUCUUGGGUUUUUAUUUUGUUAUGGGUAAAGGGUUUGUGUUUCUGUGUUGUUAAAAUCAUUUUAUCAAACCCUAUCUUUCAGGUCCUUGUUUUCGGUUUGAGUUAGAGCAAUUGUCAUAACUUAUCAUAGUCUUUGUGGCUCUAUAGUUCGAACCCUAGCUUCUUUUUCUAUCCUUAUGGGGUUUAUGUUUCGAGUGCUUGUUAUUGUGAUGCACAUUCAUAUAUGGUUAAUAUCCUAGUCAAGUUAUUCUUGAUCUAUUAGGUUGUCUUUCUAUAACCUGAGUAUACAUGGUGCUAACAGUUGAAAAUAUUUUUUUGUUUAUAUUCAGUUAAGGACAGUUAUGGAGAAGUUAGUUCAUCUUUCUUUCAAAGAUGUUGAACAUCAUAUGAGAUUUGAUUGAAACCUUUCAAAAUAGAGAGUUGUGCCUGAUCAAAAGAAAAUUUUCUCUCUUGCUAUCUGUUACUUUGCAAAGUUAUUUCAGUUUUACAUAAGCAUUGAUUCAUGUUGUAUAUCUGUUUUUCUUUGAGAAAUAUUUGGAAUGUAUUUGUUUCACUACAGCGUAUCACUAUGUGUAGCUUUAUAUGCAUAAUUAUAUUUUAUACAUGAGCAAACAGGCUCUUUAUAUUAUAUGAUUGUGUAUGUUUAAUAUACACUAUGGUGUAUUGUAAUUUAACUAUUUGAGAUGUACUACUACUUCUAAAUCUCAAUUAAUAUGAGAUUAGAAGAUGCUAUGUAAAGAAGCAUAGAUGACACUCUUUUUAUAAAACUCAAUCAGUAAAGUUAGAAAGCCAGUGAGGCAUUGUAAAAGUGAUUUUUUUCAGAUAAGCCAGUGAGGCAUUUUGAGUAGUUGUAUUCCCCAGAAGGGUUUCCACUUAGGAUAUAUUAUUGUCUCAAUUUGCGUUGUGAUAUUUGUGCAUGAUUUUGCAUCUACUUGUCAUUUCAUGUUGAUUAUGUUUUUCAAACUACAAAAGUUUUACAAGAUCGAUAAUUGACUAUCAACAUUGAUUCACCCCACCCCCCUCUCAGUGUUGAUUGUACUCCAACAAGUGGUAUUGGAGACAAACCCUUGUUGAAAAGAAAACUAGGGGUUUCCUGGUAGGAGUACUUAUGGCUAGUCAAGAGGGUCAAUCAUCUGUUGGAGCACCUUUAUUUAAUGGUUUUGAUUAUGCUUUCUAAAAGUUUAGAAUGAAAAGGCAUUUAACCUCUCUAGGAUAUAAAGUUUGGUUUGUUGUUGAAAAUGCAUACACUUCCAUUACAACACCUUCCACUCCUGAUGAGGAGAAGGAAUGUGAGUGUGAUUCCAAAGCCUUUAAUUCUAUUUGUUGUGGCUUAACUAAUGAUGUCCUGGUUAAAAUCAUGGAUUGCAAAAAUGCUAAAAUUGUCUAGGAUAAACUCUCACAUAUCUAUGAGGGUGAUGAACAAGUUAAAGAAGAAAGUUACAAACCUUUAGAGCUAGGUUUGAGAGUUUCAUAAUAAUUGAAAAUGAGAAAAUUGUAGGUUAUUUAUUGAGAGUUCAAGAUGUUGUGAACUCUAUAAGAGGUCUUGGUGAGGAUUUGAAAGAACCAAUUGUAGUUAAAAAGGUGUUGAGGUCUCUAACACCUAAAUUUGAUUCCAAAAUCUCUUCCUUAUAGGAAAGAGAUAUCAACAAAGUCACUUUAGAUGCUUUGCAUACUGUUUUUACAACUUAUGAAAUGAGAAUCAAUGACAAUUGCUCUACUAGUAGAGAAUUUUCUUUUAAGUCUGUCAAAAAGGAUAGUGAUAGUAUGUGUGAAUCUGAAAAUCUAGAUGAACAUGACAUGGCUUUUGUCAAAAAACUAAGAAGAGGGUUUGGUAAAUAUAAAGGGAAGUUACCCUUUAAGUGUUUCGAUUGUGGCAAGAUCGUACAUUAUGAUUCUCAAUGUCCAAAUAAGGAUCUAAGUGACAGUGAUGAUGAGGGCACUAGAAAAUUAGAAAAGAAAAAAAUCACUAAUUUCAAGAAGAAGAAUGUCUUCAAAAAGAAGAAGAGUCUAUAUGCAAAUGUUACAAAUAGUCUUUCUGAUGAAUCUAUUCAAGAAGGAGAAGAAACACUAUUCAUGGCAAUAGUGACUCCAAAUACCACUCAGGAGGAAAUUGAUUCAGAUAAAUUUGCAUCUGAGAUUGAUCUUGAAGGAGAGUUAAGAAGUGCUCUCAAGAAAAUAAAGAAAUUAAGAAAAUAAGUCAUAACCUUAAAGAUCAGAAUCAAAAUCAUGAAAAACUCAUUUCGGAUCUAACAUUACAGAUUGAAGAGGACAAAACAAUUCUUGAGGUAACUCAAGGAAAAUUCAAAGACAAAGAAGAAGAAUACUGCUCCUUAGAAGCAAAGAUUGUAAAUGUUCGAAAGAAGCUGGACAAGUCAUCUGACUUUGUGAAUAAGUCUUGCAGUGACAAGAAGCUUUCUGAAGGACAAUGCUCAAAACAAGCUGAAGCUGAGAAGGAGAUUGACAAGAAAUGAAAGGAGGAUCAUGUGUAAAGAUUAAGAAAAGCCUUGUAUGGCUGAAAACAAGCUCCAAGAGCCUGGUAUGCCAAAUUAGACAAACAUUUGCAGGAACAAGGUUUUCUCAAGGGUGUUGUUGACCGUAACUUGUAUUUUAGAUAAAAGGGGAAAACAUGCUUAUUGUUGUUGUUUAUGUAGAUAACAUCAUUUUUCGUAGUGAUGAUACAAAUUUGUGUUCUAAAUUUCCUCAUCUCAUGACAUCUAAAUUUGAAAUGUCUAUGCCGGGUGAACUCUCUUUCUUCUUGGGGUUACAGGUCAAUCAAUUGGAUAAAGGGAUAUUCAUAUCUCAAACUAAAUAUGCCAGAGAAAUGUUAGACAAAUUUCAGAUGAAUGGGUGUAAACCUAUUGGUACACCUAUGGAAACAAAUUGUAAGCUUAAACAGGAAGUAGAUCAGCCUAAUACAGAUCAUACUUUGUAUAGGUCUAUGAUUGGCAACUUAUUAUAUUUAGCUACAACCAGACCUGAUAUUAUCUAGUCUGUAUGUUUGGUCUCAAGAUUUCAGUAAUCACCAAAGAAAUAUCAUUUAGAUGUUGUUAAAAGAAUUUUGAGAUAGAUCUCUGGUACUCCUGAUUAGGGGGUUUGGUAUCCUAGGUAUAAUGAUUUCACUUUAGUUUCCUAUUCUGAUGUUGAUUGGGCAGGUUGUUUGGAUGACAGAAAAAGAACUUCUAGAUGUUCUUUCUUCCUUGGUGAUAGAUUGAUGGCUUGCCAUAGUAAGAAUAAGGAUUCAGUAGCUAUGUAUAUAGCAGAGGCUGAAUACAUUGCACCCACUUCUUGCUACACUGAGGUUCUAGCAAAUGAAGUUGUUCUGCAUUUUGUGUCCUCCAAAGAUCAAGUGGUUGAUAUUUUCACCAAGCCAUUACCCAAAGAGACUUUAAUUGAGGCAUUAAGAGAUAAACUUGGUGUCUUAUCUCUCAGUUUUGUUUAGUGAUUUACUCCAAUUCAUGGAGUAAGGGGGAGCAUUUCAUGCACAUUUUUUUUACCCUAGUGGCAUUAAAGUAAAUUUAUGAUGCAUUAUCAUACCUGUGAUAUUUUUAUGCACCAUAUGCGUGCUUUCAAUUUUUUUUGUUGGUUUCAGCUUCUCUCCUUUGGCAUUAUUGUCAAAAGGGGGAGAAAUGGCUAUCCUAUCAUGGUUCAAUAGUGCUUUAUGGCAGUUUUAUGAUAGUUUUAUGCAGUCAACAGUGAUUUGUGAAAGUUUUAUGCAAUCAGCAGUGAUUUGUAACAGUUUUAUGCAGUCAACAAUGAUUUGUAUUUGUGAUUCAGCAGUUUAGUUUUUCAUAUGGUACCAUAGCAUAUUUUUCAUGGCAUACAUGGCAUAUUCUUUCAUAUGGUAUCAUGGCAUAUUUUUCAUGUCAUACAUGGCAUAUUUAGUUUUGAUUUAGUAUCAUGGUAAUAUUCUUGUGAUUUAGUGAUCUUGUGGUUUGACAUCUCCCUUGAAGUCAUAGGAUACACUUGACAAGAUUGUGUUUUACAUGGGUAUUCAGGUAUUGCAGGUAUAUUGUUCUCCAGACUUUGGUUAUAUUUGACACCAAUGCUAAAGGGGGAGUUUGUUAACCCCUAGGCAUUUGUGUCAAAUGAUUUGAAAGCUUGUUAUAAUUGGCAUUUCAUGUUUAUCCUACAUUGCUUGGAAAGGUUGAUUUGUGACACAAUUGUAUACAUGUGAUUAAGUGACUAAGGGGUCGUUCAACAUUUAAGUCACUUAGGUGACUAGGUAACAUAAUGUGAUGUUUCCCACCAAUAUAAACCUAGCGGGCAUAAUGUUUUUGCUUUAUAAAUUCCCAUCGAAAUACUCGGUGAGUAGGACAUGACAUAUUAUCGGCAGGGCAUAUUAUUUGUUUGUUUUGAAGCUUAUUUUUCAUAGUUUUGUUUUGUGGAAGUCCUCUUGCUCAUACUAGGGCACAUGAAUACAAGUCAGCAUUUUAUUGCUUUUA
Long non-coding RNA from Cryptomeria japonica (Japanese cedar), 4861 nucleotides. RefSeq lists it as uncharacterized. Lineage: Eukaryota; Viridiplantae; Streptophyta; Pinopsida; Cupressales; Cupressaceae. The record is from RefSeq and is a predicted model, not a curated record. The transcript is spliced from 2 exons.